UACAGAGGGUGCGAGCGUUAAUCGGAAUUACUGGGCGUAAAGCGCGCGUAGACGGUUUUGUAAGUCAGAUGUGAAAUCCCUGGGCUCAACCUGGGAACUGCAUUUGAGACUGCAUGGCUAGAGUAUCGAAGAGGGAAGUGGAAUUCCCAGUGUAGCGGUGAAAUGCGUAGAGACUGGGAAGAACACCAGUGGCGAAGGCGGCUACCUGGACAGGUACUGACGCUGAAGCGCGAAAGCUAGGGGAGCAAACAGG
This 253-nucleotide ribosomal RNA is filed under the name uncultured prokaryote. Its description in RNAcentral is "partial 16S ribosomal RNA". It matches the Rfam family "Bacterial small subunit ribosomal RNA", at positions 524 to 776 of the family's 1533-position model. The record is from RNAcentral.